Molecule: ribosomal RNA, 534 nt
Filed under: uncultured Micromonospora sp.
Lineage: Bacteria; Bacillati; Actinomycetota; Actinomycetes; Micromonosporales; Micromonosporaceae
Description: bacterial SSU rRNA
Rfam family: Bacterial small subunit ribosomal RNA
Source: RNAcentral
CAACUACGUGCCAGCAGCCGCGGUAAGACGUAGGGCGCGAGCGUUGUCCGGAUUUAUUGGGCGUAAAGAGCUUGUAGGCGGCUUGUUGCGUCGUCCGUGAAAACCUGGGGCUCAACUCCAGGCUUGCGGUCGAUACGGGCAGGCUAGAGUUCGGUAGGGGAGACUGGAAUUCCUGGUGUAGCGGUGAAAUGCGCAGAUAUCAGGAGGAACACCGGUGGCGAAGGCGGGUCUCUGGGCCGAUACUGACGCUGAGGAGCGAAAGCGUGGGGAGCGAACAGGAUUGGAUACCCUGGUAGUCCACGCUGUAAACGUUGGGCGCUAGGUGUGGGGGGCCUCUCCGGUUUCCUGCGCCGUAGCUAACGCAUUAAGCGCCCCGCCUGGGGAGUACGGCCGCAAGGCUAAAACUCAAAGGAAUUGACGGGGGCCCGCACAAGCGGCGGAGCAUGCGGAUUAAUUCGAUGCGACGCGGAGAACCUUACCUGGGUUUGACAUGGCCGUUAAAGCCGUAGAGAUACGGUGUCCUUCGGGGGCGGU